AUUAGAGGUCGCACCGAUCAUCAGUCGCAACUGCAAUGGCCUGAACGCCAGAUGCACAGUUGUUAAAGGGAAAGGUGCCGAAAUGCCGGCUUAGUUCAGUAAGGCGGUGUUGGGCCAGUGGAUAACAUCUGCUGGACUGUCGCGGCUAUCGCGGGGCGCUA
This 161-nucleotide non-coding RNA is filed under the name Lacticaseibacillus zeae. RNAcentral's name for it is "Lysine riboswitch". It matches the Rfam family "Lysine riboswitch aptamer". From Rfam's summary of the family: Riboswitches are metabolite binding domains within certain messenger RNAs that serve as precision sensors for their corresponding targets. The record is from RNAcentral. Lineage: Bacteria; Bacillati; Bacillota; Bacilli; Lactobacillales; Lactobacillaceae.